Molecule: ribosomal RNA, 497 nt
Filed under: uncultured bacterium
Lineage: Bacteria
Description: partial 16S ribosomal RNA
Rfam family: Bacterial small subunit ribosomal RNA
Source: RNAcentral
GACGAACGCUGGCGGCGUGCCUAAUACAUGCAAGUUGAGCGCUGAAGGUUGGUCCUUGUACCAACUGGCUGAGCAGCGAACGGGUGAGUAACGCGUGGGGAAUCCGCCUUUGAGCGGGGGACAACAUUUGGAAACGAAUGCUAAUACCGCAUAAAAACUUUAAACACAAGUUUUAAGUUUGAAAGAUGCAAUUGCAUCACUCAAAGAUGAUCCCGCGUUGUAUUAGCUAGUUGGUGAGGUAAAGGCUCACCAAGGCGAUGAUACAUAGCCGACCUGAGAGGGUGAUCGGCCACAUUGGGACUGAGACACGGCCCAAACUCCUACGGGAGGCAGCAGUAGGGAAUCGUCGGCAAUGGACGAAAGUCUGACCGAGCAACGCCGCGUGAGUGAAGAAGGUUUUCGGAUCGUAAAACUCUGUUGGUAGAGAAGAACGUUGGUGAGAGUGGAAAGCUCAUCAAGUGACGGUAACUACCCAGAAAGGGACGGCUAACUACGUG